AAAGUCGUAACAAGGUUUCCGUAGGUGAACCUGCGGAAGGAUCAUUACAAAUCCAUCACGUGUCUCUCUCUCUCACCGAGACCUCGUUGAACUGUUCCAGUGAGCGCAGAGGACAACACACAGAAAAGGGGGGGGGAGGGGAAGAGGUGUCUCACCUCUCUCUCUCUCUCUCUCCCCUCUGCUCUGCUUGUUCGUUCUCUGUCUCACGACUCUCUCUCCUACACCAGUGUGCCACUUGUGCAUCAGCGUGCGUUGCAACUGUGUGUGUGCAUGUGUGCAAGUGUGUGUCUAUGACACUACGAGCCACUGCUGCACACACAUUGCUGCAGCAAACCUACCAACAACAAUAACAACCUAGAAACAACUUAUAACAAUGGAUCUCUAGGCUCUU
This 391-nucleotide unclassified non-coding RNA is filed under the name Basidiomycota sp. RNAcentral describes it as "partial contains small subunit ribosomal RNA, internal transcribed spacer 1, and 5.8S ribosomal RNA". The stretch from base 1 to 47 matches the Rfam family "Eukaryotic small subunit ribosomal RNA", at positions 1785 to 1831 of the family's 1831-position model. Lineage: Eukaryota; Fungi; Basidiomycota. The record is from RNAcentral.